RNAcentral lists this long non-coding RNA (1164 nucleotides) under Amphibalanus amphitrite. RNAcentral's name for it is "uncharacterized LOC122381111". Lineage: Eukaryota; Metazoa; Arthropoda; Thecostraca; Balanomorpha; Balanidae. The record is from RNAcentral.
ACCGGUGCCAGAAGUGCAUAAUUCGCUAAAAAGUAUUUCAAACUAUUUAACAUAUUGGUACUAUGUUUAUACUCUCUACCGCAGCUACUGUAUGAUGUCAUAGCAAUGACGUCACACUCAAGCCAAUCAGCCUUGAGGAGGAUAGACUCGUCGGACUGUAGCGGUUGUAAACAACUUGUCGCCCCGUGUGUCUGCCCGUGGCGCUAGUUAUCUGUCGAAGUUACCACUGACAAUGCCCAAAUCAAGAACAACAAAGGCCCAAAGGUGGCUGUUUGGUAGUGCGCAAAGCUGCUGGUGGUGGUGGACGUCUCUGCCCUGACGCGCGGCGUGCGUCUGCUCAGUGUGGAGGUGCCGCUGACAGCGGUGCCGGCCGGACCGGCUGCCUCUCCGGCGGCCGACAUUGAGCGCGGCACGUGUCCGCCGCCGUUCGGGCCGCUGCAGCUGCUGCAGUCGGCGGCGCAGCUGUCCGUCUCCGUGUCGCUGGCCGUGCCGCUGGACCUGCUGCCGCGGCCGGCGCCGGCGCGCUGCGCCUACGGCCGCCUGCUGGCCGUCGUCUCGCAGCGCGGCCUGCAGCGCAGCGGCGUGCUGCAGCUCAUCCAGCAGCUCAACGAGCCGCCCAGCCCGGCGGCGGCCGAGGGCGCCGCGCCGCGCCGGCCCGGCGACGUCAGCACACCUGGCAUCAGCGGCUUCUGCCUGGCCGACCGUCAGCUGCACCUGCUGUUCGCCGAGGGGCGCGCCGACGCCGAGCUGGAACAGACGGCGGCCGCGCCGCGCGCUCUGCCGCGCCGCGACGCUCGACUCUGCCACCAUUCGGGCCUACUGUUUAGGGAGCGCCUGUACCCGCGCCAGCCGGCCGCGUUCCGCGUGCUCGAGGACCGCCCGCUACGCGCCCAGCUGCUCGACACCCGCCUCUACACGUUACAGAAACAGGAGCCGGCGCGCGCCGUCCGCGCCAUCAGAGAGUGCUUCCGCACGCAGUGGCUGUCGGAAAAUGAACCUGCUUCCCAACGAGGCCGGCCUGCAACAACUGCUGGCCGGCUGUUGGCCGAAAAAAAAAGCCUUCAACCGGAUGUCAGUUGUCAAAUCAACGCGUAUUAAUGCAUUCACUAGGAUGGGCUUACGUAAAGCUGUAGAAUUGCAAAUAUAUAAUGGCACUGUUUUUGA